AACUAUUUAUAUAUGUAUUUAUUCUUUUCACAUCACACCAGGCAAAUAAAGCAACCAAGGCAUUCCAUAAUAUUUUAAAAAGAUGCUUUCUGACUUUUAGUGAAUUGUGGAAAAUAAAUAAAAACCCUGAAAAUAUUAUAUUAAAUAAAAGCAAAUAAAACGAAAUAAACAAACCUAUUCCAUGUAACAAUACAUUGAAACAACUGUUUCACAGAUCACAGUAGGUUAAGUGCCACAUUCUUUUAGAAAAUAAAAGAUAUUUUUUCUGAAGUAUGCAAAACAUAUACUGGUGCAUAGGCCACAAUUCAUAUUUUUGAAACUUGGAAUUGCUGUUGCUGACAGCUUAUAGCUGCUGCUGAUAGCCUAAUAAUGCUGCAUGCAAUGGCCUGCUAUUCAUAGUAAGUAGACCUAAAUUAUUUUGGAUUCAGUAGAAUCUCUUAAACGUACAUUCUGGGCUUACAAAAACUUUAACGUCUCAUGCAGGCCACCAUUUAUCACAAAUGUAAAAAAAAAAAGUGAUGACACAUAGCAUCAUGACAAACUGAUACAAGUUUUUAAAAGAAAAAAACAGUAUUCAUAACUUUGAGCCCCCCGGUAAAAUGCAAAAGGUACCUCAUAUUUCACAGUUAUUGAACUGGCAUCACAGAAAAAAAAAAAUCUCACCAUGUUAGGAUGACUUUUCAAUUGCAAUGUUCACAGUGUCCCCCUAGCUGCAGACUAAUAGGCAUGAUAACUGGGGGAAAGGAUGAAAGAUAUAUAUUAGAACAACAUGGAGUCGCUCAGAGAUCAACAAGUUUAAAAGAUGACGUAAGGCACAGAGGUAGAGAUGAAUGUCUAGAGGUAGAACAACAGAGAGGAGAUGGAGAGGAUUAAAGAAGAGUAGAGUGUUGUUCUUGGUCCUCUUGUCAAGGUUCAAUGAUAGAUAGAUAGAUGGAUACUUUAUUAAUCCCGAGGGAAAUUUAGGUGAUAAAUCAUAGCCAUCUAGAGGAGUAAAGAAGAGUAGAGUGUUGUUCUUGGUCCUCUUGUCAAGGUUCAAGGAUAGGUGUAGAAUUCUCCCGCCAUCUCUUUCCAGCUAUCAUGAAAAAAUAAAAAAUAAAACAGAAAGAUAAAUUGAAGCUAAAAUAUUACUGAUGAAAUUAUUAUUAUAAGUAUUAUUACUCCUGCUACAUUUUCACAGUUACUAUUAAAGGAGCAAUAAAGUCAAAUAUCAAACUCCUUACCUGGUUUUAAGAAAGCGCGUGCAAUAAACAGCACACUUAUAGCCAAAAUGAUGAAGAUGAAGGCAAGGAAGACUGGAACAGCGCCCAACCUUAUGAGCCAAACAACAGGAACAUGUCUCACACUGCAGACUGACUAUUAUCUCAACCAUUUUGAUUCAAGUUGUAAAAACAGAUAUUGCCACUAAAGGCCUUCUACUUUAUAUAAUGUAGACUUACAUGGUUACUCUUUGGAAGUGGUUUCUGGUUGAUGGCGUGGACAUAAUUGUUGGUGGAGUAGUUGUCACUAAAAAAAGAAAAAAUAGUUACAUGCAUCAUCUUGGUAGGACUAUGUAUGUGCUACUGCAGAACUCACGUGACAAGCCAACAGAAAUAGUACAAGGGUUUGUUUAUACACGCUCAGGGUAAACCUUAAAUCAAAUCUCAUUAUUUAGAGUUUGUUGGCAUUAUUUCAUGAUUUACUGAUAUCAUCUCGCCAAUCGUGUUCAGUAUCUUUCGCUUGGCAGGAAAUCAAUUGUAAAAAUCAUGCAUUAUGCUUAAAGCAACCACUACAAAAAAGCAACACAUGUAUUCAAACAGAUUGUUCUAUGGAGAAAUAAUGUCAAAAUCUUUUACUAAAAUGUUCGGUUUGUUUGUUUUGUUUGAUCCUCUGUCUUCCUACAUUCUGUUUUUUUUGUUGUUGUUUUGUUUUGUUUGUCUUUGCCCUAUGUUAAGCGUCUUUGAGUAUCUAGAAAAGCGCUAUAUAAAAAUAAAGUAUUAUUAUUAUUAUAGGAGCCACAGUACCUUUCUGACAACCGUGAAUGGAUGAUGUCCUAUAGCCAUCUUUACAGCCACACUGGGUGUCAGUCACACGGGUGCAAUUGGCCAGUAUUUUCUGGCCUUCUCCUGUGAAGGCAUUCAGAAAGGAGUGUUCAAAUGAAACCAAGAAAAUAUGACAUGUUACAAUAAAAAUGAAAGAUUUGCCUGACAUCUUCGAAAAGAGAAGAAUGAGAAAGGAAGAAAGAAACAUAUUGCAGCAAAAGUGAUAGCCCACUACAACAGACUACACACAAACAAAAUAUAUUGUGGGGAAAUAGUCAGACCAUGUUCAUGAGGUUGUUAGCCUGUACAACUGCUGGCUGAACUUUGAAACUAGUGGUGUUACUGUACAGAGAGUCUGUACUCAUAAACAGUGUCACCAUGCUCUUCUGCAACUGAGUGUUCAGAAGACAUACAAUGGCAACUAGUCGGUAUGCAUACAAAACACGCCUAGGCUAUUCUAGAUUAUGCUUUAACACAGAACAAAGCUUACCAUUGCACUUGGAGCAGUACGCACACUGAGUACUUGAAGUUGCGGUGCAUAUUCGUGUUAGGUACAUAUCUGCAGGAGACACAUCGGUCGUAUGAAUAAGGUGAUUAACCAUCACUUUACAGUCUUCAUUAGUAGAAUACACAUCCAUUCCAUUGCCAUUAUAGACAAACUUUCUUUUAGCUGACGAUUGAAUGCUAAAAAAGUUUACCCCGUUUCAGUGAAAGGCACUCACCUUCGCUACAGUAAAAGCAUGUCGUGCCAUUUAUGGUGAACAUUUCGGGUUCUUCGCACACAGUCUUAGAGAAUGCCAACAACAACACGGCGACCUAGUAGGGGAGACAUUUGUUUUAAAAAAGAAAGCAUGUUAAGAACACUGAGGAACAUAUAACUUAGACUGCAUACGCACCUGUAAAACGAGUUUACUGCCGCCUGUGGAAAAGUUGGGCAAUCCCAUUUUAGCGUGCGUUGGAUGGGUUCUCUCAAGACUCUGAGGAC
Molecule: long non-coding RNA, 3003 nt
Organism: Clupea harengus (Atlantic herring)
Lineage: Eukaryota; Metazoa; Chordata; Actinopteri; Clupeiformes; Clupeidae
Source: Ensembl